This 1503-nucleotide long non-coding RNA is filed under the name Bos mutus (wild yak). RNAcentral describes it as "lncRNA (ENSBMUG00000021894.1)". Lineage: Eukaryota; Metazoa; Chordata; Mammalia; Artiodactyla; Bovidae. The record is from RNAcentral.
GGUCCUUUCUCUAGCCUUAGAAAUCGCACGUAGUGAAGUUGGUGUGCGUCCCGCCUCUCACCUCUAUCCCGGCGGUGCGGGGGCCAGGGCACCCUCUCCCGGCUGCGGCGGAGUGGCAGGAAAAGCAGGUCUCUGGGGAUCAUCUGUUGUCCAAAGAAAUUUACACGGUCACCCCCGUAAUUGCAAAUAUAAAGAAAUACACACAGCAGNNNNNNNNNNNNNNNNNNNNGGGGGCUCGGUCUUUUUUGGGUUCAAACUUGGAGGUCAUGACUCACAGCCUGUAUUCCCAACUUAGCCAGAGGAUUUAUUUGUUAACUUGGUUUCAUUAGAAAUCACUUCACUGAGUAUGUAUUUUAAAAAAGAAAACUUUGCUUUUGAGAACAGACCUCAGAAAUAUUUAAGAACCCUUGGACUCAAAGAAAAUCAAAUGCCCACAACAGUUCUGUAACGGCUCACAGAUAAGCUUUUGCAAAACUCAGUCUGCAUAAAAAUUAGGUCGGAACUCAGGUUAAAAAAAAAAAAAAAAAAGAAAGGCAUUGGAAGCCCUGGUCGGAGCUAAGUGGACGGCGGACGCCGGGUUAUCUGUUCGGGUAGAUGCAUUCGAUCGAACCCAGGUUAAAUUUUAAAGCCCCUGGAUUCUGCUCCAGUCGCUAGUUUCCUUUCCAGAGUUUUCUGCCUUCAGUCUUUCGGAAUUGCGGCCGCGCUGAAACGGGGAGCCGCCGCAGUGAUCGGGGGGAGCCUCCCGAGGUCACAUCUGUUGGGAAAAAUCCUUUUUGCGAGUGAAAGGGAGCGAGACAUACAUCACGGCUCCUGCCGAGGACGAACCUGCGGCCCCGCGACGCCCUGCUGACAGAUCGGCGCUGAUAACCCCGCGACGUUCAUUUCCAGCCCCUCUGCCGGCCAAGGACCGUAUCAGUUUGUACACAGUUGUGAUAACCAUUUGGAGGGAGCGAAGAAGGGUUCUCCAGGGAAAGUUCAGAGCAAACGGGACACCCAAACUCGGAGAGCACCUCCGGGCGCGACUGGCGUGGAAACCCCUUUCUACUCUGCGCACUUCAUGGACUAACCUUUCGGUGCACCGUGACCCCGAAUUAAAAGUUUCAGAUCCCAGGAGACAAGACUCCCGACGGCCACCACGACCUGAGCCCCAGAGUCUCGAGAAGAGAUCGGGAGAGUUUAAGGUCGGUCACACACAACUGUGGAGCAAAAAAGUUCAUUUACUGGGUCGAGAGGAGAGGGGAAGGCCGACGGAGGAAAGCACGGUCCCCCCCUUAUUCGGGGGGAGCGCUGACCCCGGAGCUGGAGCGUCGCUCCGGCUGUGGUGGCUGCGUGGGGUUGUGCGUGGUCAACUCCUCCCGCGCCAUCGCCCUCCCCUCCCCCCAACCCGCCCCCUUGAGAGCGCGUGUAACGGAGGGCGGAGGAAUGGGUGUGGGUCGCCAGCCAGAUCAGGCGUUCUGCCACCUCCGCCCCUCCCCCGGCGUCCCGGGGCUCGGCGCCCCCUGG